UACGAAGGGGGCGAGCGUUGUUCGGAAUUACUGGGCGUAAAGGGCGCGUAGGCGGCGACCCAAGUCAGAUGUGAAAGUCCUGGGCUUAACCUGGGGACUGCAUUUGAUACUGGGUUGCUUGAAUGCAAGAGAGGAUAGCGGAAUUCCCAGUGUAGAGGUGAAAUUCGUAGAUAUUGGGAAGAACACCGGUGGCGAAGGCGGCUAUCUGGACUGUGAUUGACGCUGAGGCGCGAAAGCGUGGGGAGCAAACAGG
Molecule: ribosomal RNA, 253 nt
Filed under: uncultured bacterium
Lineage: Bacteria
Description: partial 16S ribosomal RNA
Rfam family: Bacterial small subunit ribosomal RNA
Source: RNAcentral